Molecule: long non-coding RNA, 540 nt
Organism: Uranotaenia lowii
Lineage: Eukaryota; Metazoa; Arthropoda; Insecta; Diptera; Culicidae
Exons: 4
Source: RefSeq, a predicted model, not a curated record
CUCAUCGAGAGACGUCAAAACAAUCGCCACUCAGGGGUUCGUCCCAUUUUACCUCCCAUCCCUCUCACUACGCGGCUACUCUCUCCCGAGAGAUACCCAUGGGCGCGGAUGAACAGGCUUUUGUUAUCGCGAGGAAGUGUCAUCACCCAAUCAACGUCGCACACGUCAUUUCCAUUUGCCGACGUACUUAUAUAUUGGUGUGACGGUCGGAUGAACUCUAUGUGAUUCAAGGUUGCUUAGAUUCGGCCUAGCAAGUAAAGGCUUCUUUCUGUCCGUGAACGCCUUAGGGCUAUGAAGUGCGCGCCGUGUCCGUAAAGUUAAAAGUUAAAAAGUACAAGUAAGGUCUACAAGUUAAAAGACGUAAAACACGGAAAGUUAAAAGUGGCUAAAAAUAUAAGUUGUAUGUUUGAUAGAAAUACUAAAAACGUCGUAAAAGUUUAUAAUAACAAAAUAAUAACAAGUUACACCGAAUUACGAACGAAAAGCCGUAAAACCACGUGAAAUGUUACAUAGAAGAAACACUGAAACAGAUUAAAAACA